RNAcentral lists this ribosomal RNA (410 nucleotides) under uncultured bacterium. RNAcentral's name for it is "bacterial SSU rRNA". It matches the Rfam family "Bacterial small subunit ribosomal RNA", at positions 29 to 420 of the family's 1533-position model. The record is from RNAcentral.
AACGAACGUUGGCGGCGUGGAUUAGGCAUGCAAGUCGAACGAGAAAGCCACCUUCGGUGGUUAGUAAAGUGGCGAACGGGUGAGUAACGCGUGGGAAAUCUGCCCUACAGUUGGGGAUAACACUCCUAACGGAGUGCUAAUACCGAAUGAGACCACGAGAUCGCAUGGUCUUGAGGUUGAAAGGUGGCCUCUCCUUGGAAGCUACCGCUGCAGGAGGAUCCCGCGUCCCAUUAGCUUGUUGGCAGGGUAACGGCCUACCAAGGCUUCGAUGGGUAGCUGGUCUGAGAGGAUGGUCAGCCACACUGGGACUGAGAUACGGCCCAGACUCCUACGGGAGGCAGCAGUGGGGAAUUUUGGACAAUGGGCGCAAGCCUGAUCCAGCCAUGCCGCGUGAGUGAAGAAGGCCUCGG